AAAAAAAAAUUAAAAACCCACACAGUCUCCCAUCCCCCACAUGUUGUCAGGUGAGUUUAGGCUUUACUUUACUUUGUGCAUUGGAGAACAGUGACAGAGAGGGAGCUGUGUGCCCUGCUCCAUCCCUUUCUAAGCAGCACAUAUUAAAUCCUAGGAGCUGGUGUUUUUCCCCCCCCUUUGGAAUAUGAGACUGCUGUGGCUCUAAGCUCCUGGCUGGCUGUGUAUUGCUGUAUGAAGCAUUAGGAAGUGCCGGCCUACCCCACUUUUGCCUAGCUGGUCACCUCCCGAGUGUUGAGUGUCUAAGAGCCGUUGGCUGCACUGGAACGUUUGGCUCUUUCUCUUAGUAACAGCUUUUUACAUUCUGCCUCAAUUCCUCUCCAACUUAAUCACUAGAAACUGCCCCCUCCCCCCAUCAUAUAUCUCCUGGAUUUACCCCCCUUCUCUCCUUGCUGUGUACCCCUUACCCUCCCCCCCCCUGCUCACACCAGGGUAAUAACAGCAUAUUACCAGGCUUUGGAGCUGUGUAUCAGCUUUGGGAGGGAGCUGCUGCUUUAUUUGCAACAAUAUCAAGGUAAGUCUCUAAUUUCUUGGAAGGGGAGCCCAGGGAGGUGUGUGUGACCGUGCCAGGCAGGGGGGAUAGUGCAUGCAGGGCAGUGAGAGGGGGUAUGUGCUGGAAGGUAUGCUGGGUGGGGGAUGGGUAGUGUAAUGUAUAUGAUCUCCUCUUCCUACUUAUGGGGAAUGAUGAUGAGGAUGAUGAUUAUUAUUAUUGUGAUCUGUUUAUUGCCCUGCUAGGCUGGCAGUGGCCCCAAGGCUUGGUCGGGGCACACACUGCAUAGGUAAGGGAGGGGGUUGCCCCCAAAUCUAGACAUUUUAUGAUGGGGAAUCCCUGACAUAGGGGCUCACAGGCAUACGAUGAGUGGGGGAGGGGUGUAGUCCUAAUGGCAUGUUAACUAGUGGAGUGCUGGAAAGGUCCUGCAAAGCCCUUUUGUUUACAAGGCCCUUCCAGCAACGAAGAGGUGGACUGGCAACCCCUCCCCCCUCCCUGUUGCUUUCAUUUAACCCUUUCUGCUGGUUUGCAAUGCUUUAGCUGGAGAGAAGAUUGGCUCUAUUUAUAUAAACAAUGGCCUUUAAUGACUGUAUGCAACACAUGUCUACAAUUAAACACACACACACACACACACACACACAUAUAUAUAGUAGUGUUUAUUAAUUUUAAUACGGUGGCUGAUGUAGACGUGUUGUGUAAAAUGAAAUAUUACCCCUCCCCCACCCAAUACUAGGAGUGCACAUUUGUGAAAUGUGAACACCAUGUACAUAUUCUAAAUAUGUGAAAUAUACAGAUACAUAUCCUGUAAUAAAUGUAUGUAAUAUCAGUCCCAGGAAGCACAUGGGGUCCUCUAACAAGCCAAUCUACAAUAUGGUUGUGGGGCUAGAGGCUGCAGUACAAGGCAGGGGCAAUAUCUUUUACAUUGUGAUGUAAAAAUACAACUUAUUUUCCACCAGUGUAUGCUAUUAUUUAUAACAGCGGUUACACAGUUAUUACUUAAUUAUUAUGGGUUAUAAACUAAAAUGUAUCUAUUGAUUUAUAGACCGGAAGAUAAAUACAAAUUAUUUCAGCAAUUCUUCAGAACAUAGAUUUGUUAUUUUAUUGAUCAAUGUAUUCACAAACAAACGUGUGUAUGUGUGUAUGUAUUUGUCAACAUGCAAGUCUAUGGCAGUGUUGCACAUUUAUGCAAACGUAUUUCACAGUGAUGGAAAAUUCAGGUGUGGAAAGAAAGAUUAUUAACCCUUCUGCCACUAGUGAGGCCUAAAGCCUAUUGUGAUGCAAACCUUAUUUUUGUUUGGAUUCUAAAAACAAAAUGAAAGUGAUGGGAGUUGUGAAACAAUGCUUCAAAGGGCCACAACUGGCUUAACCUAAUGCAAAGAUCUGUGUAGUUUAGUGCCUGAUGAGAGCACAAGGCCUGGAACCUUCAAGGACCAAUACAGUGGGCAGUAUAUGCUUUUUUAUUUUCACGUCAUAAGUAUUUUGCAGUGUUGAGAUUCAUCUUACUCCCAUUCAGGGAUGUGAGCUGUCUGAUCUCUGUUACCAGUGGGUGACUGUGUCAUAGUUGAACAUAAGAAGGAUGCUCCUUAUAUGGUCUGCUAGUGGUCAUUGCAUGCUUUCAGUAAUGGAUGUGACGUACUCUGGUUGUAGAAAAAAAAACCAAGUGGUUCUCAAAUCUAUAAACAAAUACUCUCAUCUAACUGGACCAAUAAUACUGUUUGGUCGGAGUCUAAAUGUUCAAGUCACUGUGUGUUUCAGUGGUUGGUUUGUGCCACAGAACACAGAUUGUACAUGCGGCCUAUAUUUUAAUUGAACAAGUCCUAAAUUUAUUUUAGGAAGUUUCCACAUUAAAGUGUAUGACAUUUUAUUGAAGUUGAAUCCGGUUUUUAUUUUUAUUUUUGGUGUUUGUAUAACAUGUAAAUUCCUAUAAGUAAGGUUUCAACAUAUUCUGCAGCACUCUACAAUUUUAAAAAUGGAAAUAACUAUUCAGGUAAUUGACUAACAAAAUCAUUUUGACAGAACCAAACUGAUAGCCCAAACCAAUAUACAAUCUAGCAAAUAAAUAAAAACAAAAUUUACAUUUGUUGUAGUAAGGAACUUCAGUUUAAAGGGGCAGUUUAGGUAUAAUAAGGCACCAUAACAACUUCAUCUUAAGGAAAUUGAUAUGGUGCCAGGAGGCCCCUGGGCACAUUCUUACCUUCAGGGGUUAACCGUUAAACCUUCUAAAAUGCUCUAACCCCUGAAGGUAUGAAUGUGCUUGGGGGCCUCCUGGCACCAUAACAACGUCCUUUAGAUGAAGUUGUUUUGGUGCAUGGCAUGUUCCCUUAAUUCUAAUUUCCUAGAUCACACUCAAUCUAAACAUAGAUUUAUGCGUUAAGGUUUCACUUACCUGCCUGAAAAUAACAUUAUUAACUAAUUAUAGCAUUAGGUAAAUUGUCUCUAUCAGAUUUGAACUAUUAGGGAAUACAAUGAGAGUUCGGCUGUUGUUUAACCAUGUCACAAUACAUUGCGCAAGACCGUAAAAGAGCUCUCUCAUACACAUAACACGUGGAUGGUAUGGUUCAUUUCAGUAACAUAUAUAAAUACUCAAUAGUUGUCCUAGAGAAACUGUCAUUUUAGGAAGCCACUUGCAAAACAUGAAUAUAGAGUUAAACAUAUACAUUUGCUUGAGCCUAAAGUAAAACUCGACAGGGCCGGUGCAAGGAUUUUUGCCGCCCUAGGCAAAAGUAAAGGUUGCCGCCCCCCCCUCCCUUGUGACAUCACAAUGCCCCACUCAUAUGAUCUGCCAUGUUAACUAACGCCAGUGCUGCAGUGCCGCCGUGUUUAAAUUAAAAGGCCUGCAGGGACAGGCUAUAGACACCAGAACCACUACAUUAAGCUGCAGUGGUUCUGGGGACUAUAGUGUUUCUUUAAUGUGAGGUAAAUUAGAGAUUUGUGCCACGAAUAAUAUACUGGAUUGCCUACUUACAACCAGAUGAGGAUGAUGAUGGGCUCUAGCUGCAGUCUGGCUCCACUGGUCUGGUGUAGAACAGGAUCUCUGGAGGCGGUUUGUAACUGUGGUCACAAAAAUCAAUGUUCUGGGAGAACGGGAAGCAGCUCCAUUUUUUUGGGGGCCCUUUACACAGCUCAAGGUCUGGGUCCCAGGGUUCACCUUCAUGUUCCACCAAUGAGUUUGUUCACAGGGGGUGGAGUGUGUAGGCGAUGUCCUGAUGUGUGUAAGGACAUUGAGUGAAUCUGUGUUUGUAUGUGUAAGGGCUGCGAGGUGUGUUUGUGUAUGUAUGGGAUGCAUUGAGUGUGUGUAAUGCAUGCAUUGUGUGUUUCUGUGUGUGUAAGGGAUGCAUUGCUUGUGUAUGUGUGUCUGUGUGUGUGUAAUGCAUUGUGUGUUUUUCUGUGUGCAUUGUGUGUGAUGGAUGCCAAUCCCCCCCCUCUCCAAUUUCCUUCUUCUCCCCCCUCUCCAAUUUCCUUCUUCUGCCCACCCUCUCCAAUUUCCUUCUCCCCCCCUCUCCAAUUUCCUCCCCCCCCAUCCAAUUUCUUUAUCCCCCUCUACCACUGUUGUAGCGUGGCCGAGCUCUGUAUGGUCCGCAGGUACAGGAAGCUUUUGUUUCCUGUACCCGGCCGGACUAAAAGGAAGUCCACACUCAGUCCGGCCGGGUACAUGCUCCCUGUACCCGCGGACCAUACAGAGCUCGGCCACGCUACAGAGAGGGAGUGACAGGAGGCAGCGCUGAGCGCUUCCCUCCUGUCAGCCCCUCUACUCAUGCUGCGCCCGGGCGGUGCGGUGCGCCCUCAUGGACGCACCAGCCCGGGCAUAGCUGCAGCCGCCUGAGGCUUUCUACAGAGUGCUCGGGCGGCUGCAGCACAUCAACAAUGGUUCCUCCUUCUUUGACUUUAUUUUAUAAAUGAGUUGUUUCCUGGGUAAUUCCCCUUUAAAGGGAUUCUAUAGUGUUAGGAUUACAAACACUAUAGAGCCCUCUGGUCCUAUUUUCUCUCAUGACCCAACCCCUGUACUCACCCGAUUCCAGCGUUGAUGUCCCUCGGUGCUCCACAUUCUCUGACAUCAUCUUGCGAUAGGAGGACUUUUCACUGAUGUUGGAUGUCCUCAUAUAGAGAGUGAAGAUGUCCAACGUAAUUUAGUCUGGUAAACUCCUGGAAGCGUCUCUAGUGACUGUCUCGUAGACAGACACUAGCAUCUGUCUUAAAGCUGCAAUGUAAACAUUGCAGUUUCUCAAAAACUGCAAUGUUUUACAACUGCAGGAGUGAGAUGAAGUGGUCUGGAUGGCUAUAGUGUCCCUUUUAAGCAAUAAGCACCACUUCAACAGCCUUACUUAGUGUCAUGAUAUCCCUAUCCUACAUUCACAAUUAACCUGUCACCAGUUUACACCCUCACAUUGUCCAGCCAAUUAAAUCUUAUAUUUUUAGUUUGGCUUUUCCCUGCCAAUUAAUACCCUACUUUACAUCCAGGUUUAAAUAAUAACAGAGAUGUACAAUGCUAAUAAAAAAUACAGUAUAAUAAAUAAAUGGAAAACCAGCAGGUAAGUAUGGAGAUUAUCUGCUGAAACAAUGUAGAACACAUAUUGGCGCCCCCACUGACCCUUCCUCCAAUUUCUGGUGCUGCCUCCUGCAUUUAUUAAUAACCCUUUACGAUAAACAGCAGAGACAUAUUUGGUUCGUUUUAUUGCUAUACUGGUACAUUAUUAUUACUCUUGGAUAAUCUACGGUGGUUCUUUGUGACAAUGUAGCAAUUUUCGCACCAUUACACAGGAUAACUCUACUUCUAAACAAUGUAUUAACUAAUCUUGAAAUUGUUGCAAAUUAACAAGGGAAUUGCAAAAUAUAAAUGACGCUCAAUCUGUGACUGUCCCCCCAAACUAAUUGCUCUUAACAAUUAUGUAAGAUUCUUUCAAAUUGCUGAGUUUAAAAAAAAACAUUUGUUAUUUAAUUAAACAUUUAUUAUUUUUCUUGUGUAGUCAUGUAUCAUCCUAUCUAAUACUAUGUCUUGUUCUACUAAACGCAACAUACAAAGCUCUCUAUACUUGGUAGCAUAAAAUAUUUAUAUUAUUAGUAGAUGCAUAUAAUCUUCCUAACAUUGCUUAGUAUUACCGAGAAGGAAAUGUAAAUGUUUUAAUCAGUAAAAUAGAAUGUCUGACCAGACCAGAAAUGCAAAAAACAAACAAACACAUAGUUUGCAUAGUUGGUCUUUCUUAGAGUUUUGUUCAUUUAAUUAUGUGUGUUACUUGUUUGGCUAUUCCCAAAGGUUAUUUUGCAUUUGUUUUAAAACAUUGUGUGUAGGUGUAUGUUUGAGAUGGCAUAACAGUGCUCUCUUAUAGAAAAGAUUAAGCGUAACCAGGCCACAGUGUCCAUGUUUUUCAGCUACCUAUGGCUAAAUAACAGGGAUCUGUAAUAAAUAGAUACAAUUUUUUUAAUAUGGCAGCUAACCGUAGGGAGAGUUGUUUUGUUUUUGUUAAAGGACCACUCUAGGCACCCAGACCACUUCAGCUUAAUGAAGUGGUCUGGGUGCCAGGUCCUUCUAGGGUUAACCCAUUUUUUUUAUAAACAUAGCAGUUUCAGAGAAACUGCUAUGUUUAUGAAUGGGUUAAGCCUCCCCCCUAUUCCCUCUAGUGGCUGUCUCAUUGACAGCCACUAGAGGCGCUUGCGUGCUUCUCACUGUGAUUUUCACAGUGAGAGCACGCCAGCGUCCAUAGGUAAGCAUUGUAAAUGCUUUCCUAUGCGACGGGCUGAAUGCGCGCGCAGCUCUUGCCGCGCGUGCGCAUUCAGGCACGGAGGAGGAGAGAAGGAGGAGAGCUCUCCGCCCAGCGCUGGAAAAAGGUAAGUUUUUAACCCUUUCCCCCUUCCAGAGCCGGGCGGGAGGGGGUCCCUGAGUAUGUUUUCCUGGCACUAUAGUGGUCCUUUAAUUCUUAGUGUAGAUGUCGAUGUAGACCUCUUAAAGAGAAGGGUGUGAGCCAUACCACACUCAAAAAGCCUUGGAAGGCCAAAAUGAAUGUCCAAAGUUGCAUGGCUGGCAUUUGGGUUCUGUGCUGCCUUUUUUGGUAGAUUAGGUGUGAAAAUAGUGUAGGUUUCAUCUGCAAUGUAAUUGUUUUAAUCAAUAAAAUAGAAUGUAAUUACCAGUAGCAAAAAAAAAAAUGUCUAAGCAGAAAUGUAAACAACAAAACAAAACUUGAUUAAAUAGAGUCCAACAAGUCAGUCAGCACCCCGCCAUUUAUAAACUUCAACAGCCACUUCUGAUCGCUGUGGCACCAUUCCACAACUAUGGGAAGCCUUUUCCCCCAAGGGCUUAGUUGGUGGCAAGUAGGAGCUCCCUAUUCAUGCUGGUUGUAGCAUGUACUGGGCUGUUGCUGGAUGUCUCAAGCAAAACCCAAACUUGCAAGAGAAUUACAGAGCCUGCUUUGGCAUUGGAUUGCUAUGCCAAGUUGUUACAAUGUCUUGAUGCCUGUCAGCCCAUAGUGCAGUGUGCCAGUCAGUCUCUGUGCCUCAUACCUGCAGUAAUCUGUGUGUACUGGGCUCUUGCUGGGUUUAUUUACAAUUAACCAGUCCAACAAUACUCCUUGUUUGGCCCCAGGCUGGGUGAUCUCUCCUAGGACAUAAUCACACAGGGAUUAGACAGGGUAGGUAUUAGGGUUCAGAUAGCAGCAAUGUGGAUAUGUAUGGUGAGACAAACAGCUUCUCUAUGAAGCAAACAAGAGUCCGUUCACCCUAUAAGUUUAUCACAAUUUCAGGCAAAGGUAUACAUGUGGGGUGUUACGUUAGUUGGGAGUUGCAGCUGUAUACAAAUAUGGGGUCUUUUCAAUUGGGACACACAAGGCCUGUGUAAUUCAUCAUUACCCCCUUCAUGUCUGAGCCUUUUCCUAAAGGUAUGUUUGAUAAUUUUUCCAAGUGUUGGUUCCACUGUAAUUUAACACUUUCCCAUUCUAUAUAUUUUUUUUUUAUUUUUUUUUAAAGGACAGAACGGGUUUUCUUCUGAUGUCCAGUAUGUAUAAUUAAAUGACCAGUAUAGGUAUAAUAAUUAGUUAUUUGAAAUUAAGCUGCUAUGGUGCCAUGAGGUCCCUGGCACUGGCUCACCUUUAGGGUGUAAAUCUUUUAUUGAUUGGUUUAACUCCAAACUCUGUGUUCCAGUGCCAGAUCGCUCUGCCUCCUGUCCUUCCAUUUUCUGAAAUUCUAGAUAACGAAAGGCUCAGGCAGCGUCCGGCAGAGGCGCUACUGACUUGCUUACAGCGGAGAGCUGAUGCUCUAAGCCAGGCAGUAGCUCCCCAUUUAUAAAAGAAGAUACGUACACAGACUUUGGGGUUAAACCGUUUGUGUAAGGUUUAACACCUAAAGGUGAGCCAUCUGCAGGGAUCUCCUGGUGCCAUAACAUCUCAAUUUUGAUAAAGGUGUUGUGGUGUUUGGAUUGUUCCUUUAACACAGUAUUAGUUCUUAACAAAAUACUAAAAAAACAAACACUUUUUUGUAUGUAUACAUUUGAGAUAUGCAACGGUGUAGCAUUUUGAUAAAUUUAUUAAAAAGUUUCUAGAGGGCAGUCAGGCUUGGUCUCUUUAAAAGUGCUGCUUAUAAACUUGUGUAGUCUGUGAUAUUGGAACUUAAGGAUGAAUAGAAUUUAUUUGAUAUCCUGCUGUUUAAGGCUCCCAGGGGAUCUAUGGAUGAAUAGGUGGUCUAUGCAAAAGGUCCCCUGUAAAUCUGUCAGGCGUUAAGUCUUUCAGAAUAAGCCAUUAGGUCAUCUAGCGGGGCCUUAGGUGUCGGGAUGGAGCUAAUUGGUUAAGCAUGAUGUGGCCUGUAACACACGUUCAUGAUGGCUGCUAGUUGAGUGCACCUAUAUAUGAGCUUAAUCCAAGGUGGGGGGUAGCCAGGGGAUGGAGGACAACGAACUCCGCACCUUUAGUUGCUCCAGGUUAACCCAUAAAUUUUGCACAGCAGCAGUGGCCCACUUCACGAGACACAGUAGGUGAAAGGCUCUAUAGUAGUUAACAUUGCAAGACCACCAGCUCUUCUAGAUUGUGUGAGGGUGCUAAAUUUUAACCUCAGGGGUUUAUACUCAAAUGCAAAAUUCAUGAAUACUGACUUCAUCUCUGUGAAGUAUUGAAAAAGGUAAAGCAAACGGAAGGGAAUGCGACCCAAUGGUAAUGUUUAGGAGUGCCCAUCAUGCUAGGUCUUCCUUUAGAGUUUGCAAUGGUGGGUGGGGGGAGAAUUGUUAUUGAACAAAUGUUUGGUAGUCAACAUGAGCUGUAUACCAAAAUAUAUCAAGCUAGUGGUUUUCCACUGAAAAAGAAAGGACUGUGAUAAUUGCCCAUGCAGUUUAAUUUUGGAUGCUCUGUCUCCAUGUAUCAUACUUUGACAUAUUCAUUUUUAAGAUUGCUUAGUGCACCAUAUCUUUUAUAUAUGGCCCUGUCCAUCUAAGUAUUUGGGGUCCUAAGCCGAUAUGUUUUAAAGUAGAGAAAAGGAAUGAAGGUGGACCCUAUCAAAGGCCUUCUCCAUGUUUUUGUAGAGGAGGAGCGCUGUAUUGGGCAGGAAUGUUGCCCUAUGUAUUGAAUUGAUUACUCUGGUGGUUCCAUCCGUAUCCGCUUCCUAGGACAAAACCCAUCUGGUCCGGUCUGAUUAAGCGUGGCAUAGACUGUUUAAGACAGUUAGCUAAAAAUCUGUAUGGUUUUAGAGCUGUGAUGGCUGCAAUAAGGUCAUGGAGGUGGAACGAGGCUCCCUGCACGACUGCUUUGCAUAAUGUUAGACAUGGUGUUGUAAGAAACUUGUAACUUCUAAUAGUCAGGCCAUCAGUACCCAGAGCUCUGCGAUGUAAAGUGAGCUCCAAAGCAGCCUGUAGCUUGUCCUGAGUGACAGCGGCCUCUAAUCUCUCUCUGUCAGCUGGGACUACGGAGGCAGUGCUCUGUGUUGAGAGGUACUUGUCAAUGAGGUCUUGAGGUGCUAAUGUGUCUGCCAGCUGGAAAGGAUUCGGAAUAUUGUAUAAGGUGAAAUAAUACUCUCUGAAGAGAGCGAGCAUGCCCGCAGCUUCAGGGAAACUUAUGCAAUUCCCUGGUGCACACAUCUCCUCUAAUUGCUUCCAUGUUCCCAAAAUGAUAGGCAAAGAAGAGCCCAGGCGCACAGCAGUGGUUUGAAGGAGGUGAAUACAUCAGGGUAAAGCAACAAACUAUCUCUGUAGCUGCUAUGUAGGCUUCACAAAUCUGUUGCCAGUAGAAAUCUCUGCAUUGCCAUGGUGCGAGGAGUUUGUCGAAAUGAACUACGCAAUUUACACUUAAGCGCAGGGCUCCUGAAAGAACAGGACACAGGAUGGUGACCACCUUUACCUCUGCCUAAAAUAAAUCAAUAGUCUCCCCGUCAACCAGUUGUGCCAAGCACUGUUGAAGUACUCUUGCAUUGGCAGACAUGUGGCAGCUGACAUUUUUAGUGUCACUUCAGAGGUGGGGCCUCAGAGAGCAAAUCAGAAUGGUGGAAAAGAGGUCCCCAAUCAGGAUUGUCCUGCCAGAUUAAGGAUUGUUAAUAUAUGCUACCAAAUUGGUAUUGUAGUCCUAGAAAAAGUGGAUUUACACUUUAAUAUUUUAUUAUUUUGCUAUUCUUUGUGUGUGGGUGCUAGUAUGAAAUUUUGUGGGUGCAACUGUGUUUGUGCAUUAAAUUGUGUCAAUGUGUGUAUGCAUGUUAAUAGUGUGCAUCUGUGUAUGCUUAUCAGUGUGAAUCUAUGCUUGCAAGGUGUUUCUGUCUAUGCUGUGUAUUAGUCUGUCUAUCAGGGUUAACAAAAGUGAGAAUUGUAUGGCAUUGAAAGUAAAUUUUAAAUGUAAACUGCAAAAGUGUAAAGUUAACUUGGAGAUUGUUUUCAAUUUGGAUGCUUUGACUUUAAAUUUGAAGUUUACUUUACGUUCCCAAUAAUUCUUACUUUACUAAAUGAUCUUGUAUGUAUACUUAUCAGGACGAUGCACUUGCGCUACACUUUUUUGGAACAGUUCCACGGUAUCCCCAAAAGCGGGACAACAGGGAACAAAGUCGGGAUGGUGAGAAAGGACCUUAAUAUCUGGACUGUUCCCUUGAAAUUGGGAUAGUUGGGAGGCAUGUAAUUAGGUUGUGUGUCAAGUUAUGUAUGUGCCAAUGUGUGUGUGACUCAUACAUAACUUGACACACAACCUAAUUACAUGCCUCCCAACUAUCAUGUAUGGAAAUCGACAACUCUAUGUCUAAUUUUAAAGGUGUAUAUGUGUGUCUUAUUAUGGAUGUGUUUGUAUGAAUGAAGGGGGCUGUAUAGGAUGGGUAUCCUGAUGUGCUGGGCCAUCUGGAUGAAACACUGGCUGGCUGAACAGUUUUGCAAACUGUUCUUUUACAUGUGUUUUUUUUUGUUUUGUUUAUAAGCCUUUUGUUCCUUUCUGCUAUCUUUAGAAUCUUUACAUUCUAUCUGUCUUCUUUUCUUGCUCAUAUCCCAGCUGUAUCCCCUACCCCUCUCGUCAUUUUAUUUUGCCCAUCUAUUUUUUCUUUCUUUACCCUUUAAAAAUUGCGCGAAGACAUUUUUAGUUAAGAUUAUUUUGAAUAUGCUUUAAUUUGUACAUUCUUGCUUCGGUUGCAUAAUAAAAAUUGAAAUUGGAAAAAGGUCAUAUUUCAUAGGAACUUGCUACUUUCUGCUUCACAGUGUAAAAGAGUUUUACUGCGUAAUUCCUUAACAGCUAAAAUGAUUGGCACAUCAGUGUGCAGUAUACUUUUGCUGGAUCUGUAAAGUCCAAAGAUAAUGUGAGCUCUGAGAUACUAUAGCUAGGAGUCAUUAGCACUUUGGUAACUGUGGGGAACACUGAUGGAAUAAGUGUUUUUACCAUUUCUAUAGUGCCAACAAAUUCUCGGUCUCUGAUUACAUUAAGUAAAUACAGGGAAUUAAAAACUCAUUUUGAUAGACAAAAAAAAACCCCAACAACAAUAUAGUGUAUUAUUGGAGCACUAAAUCUGCAAUUUAGUAGAUAAUUGAACAUGUGAAAUGCAAGAGGUAAAUCCUGUUUUUUAGAAAAUGAACAGGAUAAAUAUAAUUUGCAGGGUUUAGAUAUUAUUGAAAUUAGUGUUUGAUAAACAAACAUCUUUAAAUAGGGAAAAUGUGAAAACGCAUUGUGUAAAUUGUGCAGGAAUGUUGUAGUAAGUUUCAGAGGUACGUCUUGCACGUGAGGGGGAUUUGAUAACUUAAGUAAAAAGCAGGGUGACACACUCUCUCUUCAUGAACCACAAACUGUUGAUGUACGUUGAAGACUGAAACAUUUCUUUAAGAAACUUAAACAGGCCCUGUGUUUGGACUGAAUGUAACCCUUGUGAUAUCAAAUGGGGCGUGGUAGACGCUGAACACUCCCCAUAGAGAUGCAGUGAUUCAGUGCAUCUCUGAGGAGAUACUGUUUGGUACAGAGCUGUGUUUUGCUGUGCAGUGGCUGUAGCGGACCACAGGUAACUCGACCGGCUACUUCCGCUAAUAUCUUCCUUCAGCCUGCUCAGGAACCACUUAAAGGACCUAGACACCCAUUCCCCCAGUAACUGGAUGAGACACAGCUCUGGGGUACAACUGACAAUGCUGUAUUGAUACAGCUUAAUUUUAUGCACAGACCCUGAAAGGGGUCUCCGUUCUGUUCAGCACAAUCCCAGGGUGGAGGGGAAUGGUUUACAGAUAACCUUCUCCCGCUCUGGGAGAUACCAAUUGCACAACAAUUGGUAACAGUAAAACCCAGUACAUACAUUGGGGAGAUUUAGGGCUUUAGGGCUCUGCGCCCCGGGAAGGGAAUGACCAAUCGGCGCUCGGGGAGGAGAGGGGUUUUGCCUUCCAAUCAGGAGAAAGGGCACGAAACACGUUUGCGCCAAUCGGUGCUCAGGAAGGAGAGAGGGGUUUCACCACCCAAUCGGGAGAAAGGGUGCGAAAACAAUUGGCACCAAUCAGCGCUCAGGGACGGGAGGUGUUUUGCCGGCCAAUCGGGUACGGACGGACUUCCAGGCAGCCAGCUGGACUCUGCGGUGGUGAGGCCGACUCCUAGUUCCAGGGAUUCUCGUCUCUCUCUCUGGUGGAUAUCGCCACUAGCCCGGGUAGUGAUCAAGCUCUUUUAGGAUUAGGUUAGGGUGAUCCAAAUCGCCAGUACCCCAGAAGGUACCCCCACCAACAUCAUGGACCCAUUCAUGGAGUCCCGGUGCGAAAGCCCCUGCAAGGGAAGCGUCUCUUUUUGGGAUACGAAUGCCACCCAGGGUAGCGCUCAUUAAUUAUUUCCCUUGCAGUUUCACACGUAGGUUGCAGGUGCCAAUGUUCUGAUUAAUUGGUGUGAAUGUUUCACUCGGGUACUGGGGUGGUCCUUUCCAUGCGUAGGACUGCCCCCGCAUGGUAAGCAGGCAUAUUACUCGAACUGUAUAGAAAUACAUGGGAAAACACAGAGGAAACACACAAUAUAAAAGGAAAUCCAUAAAUAGGCAGUGGUUCUGCCACGGUAGCCUCUCGAUGCUUUCCAGUGGGAAAACAUUGGAUUGGCUGAGAUUAUAAAAUUUGAUGAUCACAGCCAAGGAGGCAUGUCUGAGCUGGAGAUAUGGUGAGCAAAACCACCUUUAAGACUGGGAAAAGGGGAGGCUCGGCCACCUAAACUGUACUAUAAAAAAAAAUAGUGUCAGGAAUCCCCUUUGUAUUCCUUACACUAUAGUGUUUUAAGUCACGUGUGCUUGGUGUGUAGAUUAGUGAUGUGGACUCCUUUCUUUGAUCUAAGAACAUGAUUCUUAUAUUAUAAGGCCUCAAAUGUUUUAUUAUUGUCCUUAGGCACAGCAUGGGGGGUCUCUGUGAAGGUGUUGUCAUGCAGACACAGCAAUGCUCUGUAAUCAAGGGGGUUUUCCUUCCUGCCAGAACAGACAACAAUGCCAAACACAACAAAAGAGACAGAGAAUUCAGGUUACAAAAGCAGUUCAGGUAAACCCUGUCGAUCAUGUGCCAAAAUUAUGACCACAUGCAUGACUUUUUCAAUUAUAGUCCCAUAGCUGACUCUAUUCUACAAGAUGGAACCCCUACCACGGUGCUGUGGAUAUAACAGAAGGUAGUGGUGGGGGUUAAUGGCCCAAAUACUAAUAAUUUUUUUAAAAUCAAGUCAUACAGUAUUCUACACAUUUCACUGUAACUAGAAACCACAGGGUCCUGGUGCGAAAAGUUCCAUGGGGCCCCCACAUGCAUCUCCCCCUCCCCCACCUCCAUUUGUAUAACACAUACAGAUAUAUACACAGAUACACAGAAUGACACUUCUACAGAUACAAAUACUGACACACAUGCGGAUACACAGACAGACAGAUCCACAUACAGGCACACAUGUAGACAAACAGAUACACAUACAGAAACACACACACCCAGAUAUACUGAUACAGACAUUCUCUAUCACACACACAAACUUAAAAAUAUUUAGUGAUUUCCCUGGGGUCCAGUGGCUGCCUCAUGCUGAUGGGAGUCAGAGCUCCCACUCUGACUCCCUCCUGUCCGGCGCUCUGUUGGUUGGGAGGAAUUGACGGCUUCCUCCCAGCUCUGACAUCACCGGGUCCCGGUCGCGCUCUUAAAACGCCGCAGCGCUGACUGGGCCCCAGGAAAUCUAUUGCCAACCGAUGAGCUCCUUCAAUGCGGCCUGGCAGUUUUUCCGUGUGGUGGUGGCUGAACCAAAAUGCUGGCAGUCACAGGGGUCCACAGGGCAGCUGGGCCCCUUGGAGUGAUGGCCCGGUCGCAGCUGCGACCCCUGCAGUUCCGCCAGUGGAUGUAUGCCUUGUGUGACGGGAGAAACACAGUUCUUGGGAUUUAAAAGCUGCACAGGCAAAAGAAUAAUGCAUAGCAUUAUUGCUAUUAUCAGGGCUCCUUCACAGAAAGAAAUUUGGAAAAUGUGCUAUCUGCAUAAAUACUAAGGAGUUUCCACUGCACUAAAAUGCUUGUUUCAAUCUAGUGGUUAAAAUUAUUACUCAAAGCAACACGACCACUUGAGUGUUUUGAAUUGGUCAUGAUUCUUGUAGUCUGUAUGUGCAACAUUUCAGUUUGAAACACUGCCCUCAUCGAUAUAGCACCCAUUGCAGUGUUAUUAGAUGUUAAUUCUUUCCAUAGUGAGCAACUAUCAUCCGCAUAGAAUGCUUGAGAUAGUUUAUCUGUGGCGGCACGAUUGACUCCUCAAUACAUCCUUCGCUUUCCAGUAAAGGAAAGUGAUAUCACAGGAGGAGGAUCAGGCAGCCUGGAAAACUUGGCCUUGCUGUGGAUCCGAGAGAAUCAUUUUUUUUUUUAAAUACCCCUCCUCUAGAUCUGAUAGGCUGUAACCGGCCUUUGACCCCAAAGGCAGGUUUGCAUAAUUGCUGAUCAGCAUUAACCCUUCUGUGGAUUUGGUUGCUGCUUGGCACAACUUUCCUGUGUGGACAGUAAAUGUCAUUAACCACAUUUUUAUAAGCAGAUGAAUAUGUGUCACUAAGGAGUUGAAUUUCACAGUCUUUGCCACGUGGUGAUAUAGGUAUAUAAACCUGAGAGAGGGAAGUGGAUGACUGACUUCCACAAAUAUGUCCUUUGAAAAAUGGCUGCCAUAAUCCUUUCUCUUUGGCCGUUCGAACUUAAACCAAUAUAGACCAAUCUGCAAGGACAGGUGAUUUUGUAUAUAACAUAUGUUGUCACGCAUGUAAUGCGAUGUCUGAUCUUAAAUUCCUUGCCAGAUCUGGGAUGGGAAAUUGACUUGGAAUUGUCAUGGAAUUGUAGGCAGUACAGUUCAGACACUGAUAUCACCCAGUGUUUGCGUUGGCAGAUUUUAUUCUUAAUAAGUGAAUAUUUGUCUGUAUGCAGCAGUCUGUCCCUUAGGUUGGACCCUUUCCGAUGACUAAUCAUAUGGGGAAGUUUAAAUAUUGGAGGCAAAAACACAUCUUUCCGGAGUAUCUCCCAAUCUUUCGCAAUAAUGCCUGCCAACGCAGGAGAAUUUGUGUGGAAGGCUUGUGGAAAUACUAGCCGAUCUCCUGUUUUCUCAGAAUGCUUUAAAGGUUCAUUGAAACUUUGUUAUGGCUGCUGAUAAGCACGUUUCAAAAUUUGUUUUGUAGAGUCCCAUUCGAGAAACUUCUCAUACAUUGCCGCUACCUGUGCAUCUGAACAAGUUUCAUCAGAAUUGUUGCGUAAUACCAUUAGGAAUUACAGUUUAGGUAGAGACUCCUUCAGUUUCUUCGGGUGAAAACUGGAUGCAUGUAACUGGGUAUUAUGAUCAGAGUGUUUAGAGAACAGCGUGUAGCCAAUGCUGCCCUCAAUGAAAAUCAGUAAAUCCAGAAAUUCUAUUGGAUCAUGCCUAUAACGAUAGGUGAAUCUCACUGGUGAUUGCAUUCUCACGUCCAGAUCACAAAAACAUAGUUGAUGUAGCGCAGGUAUUUGAAAAUAUGACCCAUAUUUUGACAGUAUGUAUUCCUGUUCAUAAACUUAAAGUAUGGAUUAGCUUAGAGGGAGACCAUUGGUGCCCCCAUUGAAAUGCCAGUUUUUUUGAAUAUAGAAGAAACCAUCAAAUUGGAAGUAGUUCAAGGUGAGGCAUAGCCUGAACAUCUUUAAGAUAAAGCCCUAAGGUGGGCUUGUCUAUUCCUUGUAGUUUUGUAGCAGAUUUUACAUCACCUGUAUACCUGUUUGAUGUGGAAUUAUGGUAUGCAGGAAACUUGCAUACAUCGCAGCCAAUAUGAUCUCUUGUUCAAUGAAUUUGCCCGAAUAAAAGCAAUUUAGAAUUCAAAAUCUUGUGAGUGCGCUCUGUUAAUGUCUGAAGAAAUACUAAUCAAUAUGAUAGUAGGAACAACACUGAUGUUAGAGGAGGGGAGUGAGUGGGGUAUCAUGAAUAGCAAAAGAUGUGCCUGAGAGGGAAAGGUGCAGAUUGGUUGAGGAUAGCCAGAACAAGUAAAUAAACAGAGAAGAGUCAACAUCAUUUGACUUAAAAGGACUCUCCAGUGCCAGGAAAAUUAUAUCCGUUUUCCUGACACUGCAGUACCCCUCUACCUCCCACCCCCAUCCCAUGUUGCUGAAGGGGUUAUAACCCCUUUAGUGAUUUACCUGAAUCCAGUGCCGAUGUCCCUCGGCACUGGGUCAGGCUUCGCCAAUGCUCCUCCCCUGCCAGCUGGCGGGGGAACCUAAACUGUUAUAAUUACACUUGCUAGGUUAAGGGUGGUGGGAGUUGGCACCCAGACCACUCCUAUGGGUAGAAGUGGUCUGGGUGUCUGGAAUGUCCCUUUAAGUAUUAAACUAUCAUAUUGAUCAAUAGUUUUUUAGACCAGAGGAAGAGAGGAAAACUCUUGAAAGCUUAUCUUUUAAGUGUUAUGUUAGUCCAAUAAUAAAGGUAUCAUUGCUUACUGCAAUACUCUGGUAUUUUGGCAUUUAAACUACUAUAAGCAUAUACAGAUAAUUACAAAAGUAUCUAAAACAAACCUAACCAACUGAAUUGUUUGUAAUUGUACUUGCAUCAUCUAAAAUAAGUAGAGGAACUACCCCACAUUAUUGCUAUUCCUCUAUCCUAUUGAUAGGGUUAAGUAAAAAAAAAAAAAAAAGACAGAAUUUAGUCUAAAGUUUAUUGAGGCUCUAUUUAAUAUUUUAGGAGAAACUCUUUGAAAUUAUUAUUCUUUUCUAAUAUUAAAAUCUCAAAAUAUUUUAAUAUAAAAAUAUCAAAAUACAAACUGAAUAUUUUUAAAUUAUAUUAAAUCAUUUAAAAGGUUUAUAAAAGAUAUUAUUGUUCAACAAAUAUACAAUUUUACAAUGCAUUGUUCAAUACCAAUUUUUAUUAUUAACCAUUAUUUUGGCUCUACUAGUGUUCAUUUGCACAUUCACAAGACUUAAUACCUAACCAAGUUUAUUUUGUUAACCUUGGAUAGCAGGAGAUUGCAUUUCUGACACCCCUUCAUAUUGAUUCAACUUAAAAGUUGAAUGGAAUCCUGAUUUGCUUCAGUGAUCUUUGUUCUAUGAGAAACUGUGAUCUAUUGCUUCUUUAUUGAUCCUUUCUUACAGUUCAUGUAAUGUAGUUUUUCAUAAGUUCAUGACUAGUGCAUUUUUACUGUACAUUCUGUAUGACAUAAAUAGAAGCGGUGGUGAUCAUGAUGUGGAAACUAGGAAAAUUGUACUUUAAUCUUUCAUUCAAAUUCAUUACUUUGUGUUAUCAGGAAGUAAAACUGUACCUCAAAUUUAUUUUGAUUAUAUUGCAUUAUAGACCUUGAAAUGUUUUAUUGACAAUUACGAUAUAGAAGAAAAGCAUUUUAUAGCAGGGAAUUUUAUGGAAUAUCUAAUAUGAAGUUUUAUGCUUCACAAUACAUCAUAACCUUUUUUUUUUUUUUUCCCAAUAUGGCCACACCUUGCCUAAUUUGUCAGAUUAAGCUAUUUUAUUUGCUUUUGUAAAAUGUGCGAAAUGUUUGCCUCCUGUGAGCCAGGUUUUCCUCAUAAUGGCAGUGUUCUUACAUUCCCUGUACUGCAGCAAGGCUUAUAUUUUAAUGUUCCGUCCUAAACAUUUUUGCAGGUUGAUAACCCUGGUUGGUUAGUUGUGCAAAGAUUAUCUGCAGACCUGUGCACCUCAGAGCUUAAUGUCCACGCCAGACACUCUUGAUACUGGCCUUUUUCAGUAUUGACAGUGGCAUGGCCACCAACCACUUCGAUAAGCCAGUAAAGAUGAACAGGGAUGGUAAAAAUGAAAUGAAAAGAGGAGAAUAGCUUGGAAGGAUAGGACUGUCGGUGGUUAUGGUGUUUGGGGUGUUCCUUUAAGUACAAAUUAAUAAAUGAAUUAAAAGUGUAGAUUAGCGCAAUUAUAAUUUUAUACACUGUGUUAAUGAUGAAUCAUGUUUGAAAUCCGUGUUAUGCUUUUAUUUUUGAAGAGCGCUUGGUAGUGAAUGGGUUAUAUUGUGAUGGGAAGAAAUGCCUUGGAAUUUUUUUUUUAGUUUACAUCUGAAAGUGGAUGGUUCUGCAUUUCAUAUUUAUUAAUGGAAAGAGUUCCAGAGUUUUUUCUACCUAGUAUGGAAGAUGAUUGGUCUUGAUAAUGAGUCCCUUGUGGAAUGACAAAAGGUAAUCAUAAUCUUUAACCCCUUAAGGACCAAACCUCUGGAAUAAAAGGGAAUCAUGACAUGUCACACAUGUCAUGUGUCCUUAAGGGCUUAAAGGAUCACUAUAGUGUCAGGAAAACAAACUUGUUUUCCUGACACUAUAUAACCUCCCUUGGCGCUGAAGGGGUUAAAACCCCUUUAGUUACUUACUUUAAUCUAGCGCCAGGCUCCCGCGGUGCUGGUGACUUCUCCUCCCCCGCCAACGUCAACUCCCGAGUUGAGUGGAAUGCGCUUGCCGCACGCAUGCAAACAGUGCAUAGGAAAGCAUUUCUCAAUGCUUUCCUAUGGACGUUCUGAACGCUGAAUGCGAUUUUCGCAUCCAGCGUCACAGAAGCGCCUCUAGCAGCUGGAUUUACCCUGCAAUGUAAACAUAGCAGUUUUUCUGAAACUGCUAUUUUUACAUCUGAAGGGUUAAAACUUGGGGUACCUGGCACCCAGACCACUUAAUUGAGCUGAAGUGGUCUGGAUGACUAUAGUGUCCCUUUAACCCCUUAAGGACCAAACUUCUGGAAUAAAAGGGAAUAAUGACGUCACACAUGUCAUGUGUCCUUAGGGGGUUAAAUCUAGUGAGCUACUUUGUAUAGCUUCUUGUGUUCAAUGGCAAAGAAUUUGAUAGUGCCACAUUUCACUAGUAGCCAGUGUUGUACUGAAAGUCAAGUAGCUUAUAAAUGACUCCAGGAAAACCUAUUUCCAUUAAUACGUGUUGCACUGUUAUAUACCCAUUUUAUUACAUUUUUUAUUUUUUUUUAGGUUGGAUUUUGUGUUCCUAAAACUAUUUCUAACACUAUAUUGUCCCUCUGCCCCCACCGUGAAAAGGGUUAAAAAGCAAAACCUUUUAACGCAUACAUUGUUCUUUUAAAUUACACGUUUAUAGGCAGGGCCUAUAAAACUUGGGCAACGUAUAGAGUAUCAGAGUAUCUAUCUCUGUUAUGCAUUUUUUAUUUACCAUUAUGUAUAUGAAUUCAGUGGACACUUUAUUAGGUAUAUAUUUUCAUUAACACAAACUGCCAGAUGUAGAAUUAUUUGAGUGCAACCAAUAUACAAAUUGUCACUUGUGUAAUUUUUUUUUUUUUUUAACAAAUACUACUCACAGGCACUUCUUGCGUGUAUGCACUUCACAUAAACUCAGAACAGCUUAGAAUCCAUUUACACAUAUUGUGAAAAAGGCUUGCAUCCAUCCAGUUUAGCCUUUUACACAUGCGUUUCGGCUGUUGAUCAUGAAGAAGGCAAAUACGCAGUAUGAAGCGCUUUUUAAUUUUGCAACAAACUAGGAAAAAAUAAAUCGUGCUCAGCCUCAGAAUGGCAGUUGGAUCUUUCCUUUGAUCAAUAAGCUGUUUCUCAACUGUUAAAUAUUAUAUCCCUAAAUAUUGUUUUUUCAAGAAUUAAUCCAGAACCGUUUAAACAUAUGUACAGACUCUGAUAAAACCACCUCUUCAGGCAGAUAAUCCCCCAUCUUUAUUGUUCUAUUUGUAAAGAACCAUUUACUCUGCCUUAGACUAAAUCUCCUUUCUUCCAGUCUAAAUGGGUGACCAUGUCCUAUGUAUAGCCCUGUUUAUGAAUAGAUAUUCAGACAAUGGUUUGUAUUGGCCUGAAUAUAUUUAUAUAAAGUUACCAUAUCCCCUCUGAGGCAUCAUUUUUCUAACUAUAUUUAAGUUUGUUUGCUUUUCUUCAGAAGUAAAAUCUUCCAUUUCCUGUAUUGAUUAUGCAGCCUGCUUCUGUACUUGUUUUACUGCAAUAAUAUAUUUUAGAACGGGUGCCUAACAUUACAUGACAUAUUUAAUGUAUGGUCUUAACAUUGAUUUCUGAAGAGGUAAAAUUAUGUUUCUCCCAUAGAAUUAAUGAUUAUUUUAUGCAUAACAAUAUCUUCCUUGCCUUAGUAGAUGCUGGUUGACAUUGUUACCUAGUUUGAUAUCUAUAACUAAUUAUUUCCAUAUCCUUUUCAUGUGUUGAUUUCCCUAACUUAUUACCAUUUUGCAAACACUUAUACAAAGUAUAAAAAAACAAGCUCCAAAACUAUGUGAGUAAUAUGAAUAGAUAACAUUUGGUAUAACAUAUACCAGUCUAAUAUCACAGAUAAGCAGGAAGUACGUUAUUCCAAUCUACAAAAUGAAGCACAGUCACAUGGAUUUUCACCCCAUUUAGGGAGAAAAGCCUGCAUACUUCUACGUCUCAUGAGAGCUCUCACUUCCCCUCCCCCCCCUGUAUUUAAUGUAUUACACUAUAUGCAGUUUCUGUUUUUUUUUUUUUUUUCUUCCAGAUCUGUGGUAUAUGUUCAUAUUACUCAGAUAUUGUUUUGGAGCUUGUUUACUUAUACUUUGUAUGUGUUUGCUUGAUUUAGUUUUAGUGGUGUUGUGAGGUUCACCAUAGAAGCUCCUGCUAUAUCCUUUACUCCUCCUACAGUGACUUAUCUCCUGUUUUUAUUACCAUUUAGGGUGUAAAUUGUGUAUCUACAUUAAAUGUAAUCUGCCUAGAGUGCCCUGUCCCCUAAUCAUGUAUCUAGAUCCCUUCACACUGUAGAAGUAUCCUGCUCAUAUGGCAAUACCUUACCUAGUUUUGCGUCAUCUACAAACACUGAAACAUGACUUUCGAUUUUUAUUUCAAGAUUUAUAAAUAAGUGUGUGUGUGUGUGUGUAUAUAUAUAUAUAUAUAUAUUUUUUUUUUUUGUGUGCAGGUGGUUACAGGGUAUCAACAGACGCCACAACAGCGUAUUUCAAGAUUCACAAAAGUUAGACAGUGGCAUGGGAAUUUGCACAUUUUUACAUUUUUAGCAAGCUCAACUAAACAACUAUAUUGUCAGAGCAAGACUAAGUAGAAUGAAAUUGUAUAAAAUGAUAAACUCCACAACAGUGUAAGUCAGGUUUUGCAAGAGACAGACAGUGGCUUGGUUAUUCGCACAUUUUCCUUUAUAUAGAUUAUAAGCCUGACGAAAACAGCGUUUAUAAAUAUAUUAAGUAGAAUCGUUCCCAGAACAGAUCCUUGAUGACACUUUUCCCAGUUUAAAUAAUUACCAUUAAUGACAUCUCUCUGUAUUCUAUCUUUAAAGGGACACUCCAGGCACCCAGACCACUUCUGCCCAUUGGAGUGGUCUGGGUGCCAACUCCCACUACCCUUAACCCUGCUACUGUAAUUAUUGCAGUUUUUUUUAAACUGCAAUAAUUACCUUGCAGGGUUAACUCCUCCUUUAGUGGCUGUCUACUAGACAGCACUUCUGGGAUCAUAGCACAGAUUAUCUGUGCUAUAGUGUCUCUGGACGUCCUCACACUAUGUGAGGACCUCGAGCGUCUCUAAGAUCCUCAUAGGAAUGCAUAAAAAAAAAAAAAAUUCAAUGCUUUCCUAUGGAAAGGUCUAAUGCCGCGCAUGCGCAUUAGGUCUCUCCAGCCGGCGGGCGUGAUCAGUCUUCCCCGCUGGCUGACGUGAUGAAGGGGAGGAGUGGUGGCGGAGGAAGCAGCAACGUGGGACAUGUCGCUGCCUCUGGUAAGUGACUGAAGGGGUUUUCACCCCUUCAGCAACCGGGGAUGGGUGGUUGGAGGGAGAGAGGACCUGCAGUGCCAGGAAAACGGAUUGUUUUCCUGGAACUGGAGAGUCCCUUUAAAUAAACGUUUCCAACAAAAUUUUCAUCUAAACCAAGGUCUUUUAAUUUGAAUACAAACCUUUUGAGUGUAACUGUGUCGAACACAUUUUCAAAAUCCAAGUAGAUCACAUUCAUUGCAACACUCUGAUCUUUACAUCUACUCACGUCUUUGUAGAAUGUAAUCAAGUUAGACAUGAUCUAUGUUAAAUAAAACCAUGUUGAUUUCUGCUAAUGACAUUGUUGUUCCCAACUAAUGCUUGAAUAUUAUCCUUUAAUAAUAAUUUAAAUAUUUUCCCAGCCAUAGAAGUUAAGCUCACAUCUAUAAUUUCCAUGGAUAUAAGAACCUCAUCUGCCUUUCUACAAUACUUUGGCGAUUUUUUUAAAGAAAUGUAUAGUGAGAAAUUAAAAAGCGAAGUUUGCUUAUUUCCAGACUUAAAGGGAAGCACUCUCACUGCUAUUUAUGAGUUUAAAACCUGGUAAUCUAAAUCGUGCAGGAAACUCUGUGUUAGGAAUACAUAUUUGUAUAACGCUAGAGCAGGGGUUCCCUAUUAAUUUUUCCCAUAGGACCCUUUGACAUAGCGUACCAACAUCGUGGAAUCCCAGAGAAAAACAUUUGCGUUGUAGUACAAACCUUUUAAUUAACAGAGCGUACGGUUUUCUUUUUUGGCACAUUUCUGCAGAUCGUAAACAGACUCUACUACUUGGUAGCAGGUGUGCUUCUGUGUGUAGAGUUGGUGUUUGUAUAUAAUUUUAGCAUUUUCAUACAGGGGUGUGUUUGUAUGUUAUGCUUGCAUUUACAUGCAAUGGUGUGUUUGGAUGUAGUGUGGGAUUUUAAAUGUGGAUGUACAUUUGUGUGUACUAUUGGUGUUUGAGUGAAGAGUGUGUUUGUAUAUAAUUUUAGAGUUGGAUUUCAGGGGUGUCUUUGUAUGUCAUGUUUGUGUUUACAGAGGUGUAUUUGCAUGUUGUGUUGGUGUUUGUUGGGAUGUCUGCACAUACACAGAUAUACAUACAUAUUAAACAGAAACACACACAAAUGCACACACUGGUACAUAUACACACUGACACCCCCCACCACUGGCACAAAGAUACACACUUGAACACAGAUACAAACACUGCCAGCUACCCAUACUGACACAGAUACAUAGAGUGACACAGAGAUACACACACAAGUAUUAGCAGUCAUCCUCCUGUUAAUUACCUUUUUUUCAUGUAGGAGUGUGACUUGCUUGGAGUGCAGGCUGGUGUGCUGCUCACUCCUCCCGUCUCGCUCUGUCUGGGAGGAAGUGACAGGCUGCCAGCUCCUCCCAGCAUCCCACAUUACAGGGGCGCAGUUGAGGGCCCCUGUUCAGCGAUACCGAUCAGUUGGCUUGAAAUACAUGGGCAAAUUACUGCGGAACUCCAUGUUCCACGAAACACUGCUCUAGAAUGUUCCUUUAACUCCUUUAAAAGGUUUCUUAAAAAAAAAAAAAAAAAAAACUGCCCUCAGACUCCUUGCACUAGAACCACUACUAUAAGAUGUAGUGAUUAUGGUGUACAUUUAAGUGUUCAUAUUGUACAGUGAAACAUCUAGGAGCAAUAUUGCUCAAAAAAUUCUGUCCAGACUUAAAAUAUUCCCAUGUUGUACAAGCUAAAGGUAAUAGUGGACAGUGCCAAGUAGUGGCUCGAGCAGCACAAAGAUCACUUAGCUGGGAAUCUUGCGUAAUCAUUCAUGAUUCAAAAUCUCUGUUUGACAAACUUGGUUUUGGUGGAAGGAAAAAAAAACUAUAAGCCUUUUUGUAUAGAGUUGGCACUAAGACUAAGGAAUAAUAGCUGGAGUGGUUUUCAUGGUUAGCUCCAUGCCCCCUACUUCUAGUGCAAUUACAUCUUAACACAUAUAUAACUUUCUAGGCAAGGUACUUUAACUUGGGAUUUUUGAGAAAGGCCUUUCUUUUUUGGACUAUGCAGGAAUGACUUGUCAAGAUCCAUGUGAAAAAAAUUUACUGACCCACAAGUACCUUUUGUGAUGAAUUGUAAUGCCAACUAAAGCCCAGGCCUAAUUGCCCAACUAAACUGACCUCACUGAUUCUCAGAAAAUUGCUGCAGUAAUAUUCCAAAAAACACUUGGAAAUAUAUCCUAUAAGACUCAAGGCUAUUAUAGCAGCAAAGAUGGAUUAAGUCUAUAAUAAUGCCCAUAGGUUUCGGAGAGAGAUGAGCAAUUACAUGCUUUUGACUGUGUAGUAUAUAAUUUGUAUGUGUGCUGUUCGAGUAUGGCCUGUUUAGUUAGUUUUUUUUUUUUUUAAGUUUAGAUACUUUCUCAUUUGCAAAUAAAGUAGGUCUUCUCAGGGACACUACCAGUUAGGAACUGCUCUACUUGUCAAACCAGUUUUUGGAAGUUCCCAUUUUUAUUGGUAUUGUCUCUUUGCAGGAAUUAAACCCUUUCUACUACAUGUAGCUAUGCAGUAAACUACAGAUUAAAGUUGCUUAAUCACUUUGAGAUUAUUUAAAAAAAUAAAUAAAACAUUGAGUAACAGAAGAGGAAUACAAAACUUGUAUAAGGGUCAAUAUGAUCGCCUUCUCACCAUAAGGAGAUCUAAUACUGCACCGUGUAUUUAUUUUGAGCCUGGCCUGCUGUUUAACCCUCACGCUGCCAAGAAUUAUUAAGAUUACAUCGAUAAAUCCCAGACAGGUUGAUUAGUUUGGGCAUAGAUUAAAAGGAAUUUGAUUUGUUUGCACCAGUUAAAGCACAUUCCUACACAAGUAUAGCUGGUAGCAGGCAAAUAAUUUGAAUACUUAAUUUGGACAGGUUGUGUAGAAUUUUCACUGUCUGAACUAUUUCAGUGGUCUGGCAGCAUUCUGCAAUCACCAUCCAGAUUUUACAGACUCAACAUUUCGCAACAUGUGACUUUAUUGGCUAACCUUAUUACUGAACCCCAGAGCGCCUGCAUUAAAGGGACACUCCAGGCACCAAAACAACUUCAUCUAAAUUAUUAUGGUGCCAGGAGACCCCUGAAAGGCACUCUUUAAACAGGAAGCAUGGAGUGCCAAUCAGUAACUCCACAAUCCCUAAACUGGCUUGGAAAAGGUAUAUAAAACACACAUGCUAUAGUUGUUCUGGUGAAUAUAAUGUCCCUAUAAUAUUAAAUGAACAGUAUAGGGUCAGGAAUAGAAACCUGUAUUUCUGCCCCAUGGUGUUAAAAAAACAAAAACAAACAAAAAAAACAUGCUAGGUGCACCGUCUUAAAUAAGCACACACACACGGGGUUAAAGCGACAUGUGUGCAGAUAAGACACAGGUUUGAUAGAAAAUUAACAGAGUGUUGUAAAUAUCUUGAGUGAUUUUUGGUCUUACAUUAUUGCCUUACGGGGGAGAGUGUGUGUGUAUAUAUGUAUGUAUGUGUGUGUGUAUAUAUAUAUAUAUAUGAAAUACCUUGUUGGAAGUGCACUCACAGGACUCGAUACUGUUGCCAAAAAUUUGCCAUUUAUUCAAGCUUCAAAAGUUGAUUACAUAGUGUUGCUGUUUCAGUCCACUAGGGACUUUAUUUAUUAUAUAUAUAUAUAUAUAUAUAUAUAUAUAUAUAUAUAUAUAUAAAAAAAAUGUGUGCGCGCUCGUGCUUUAUGCGCACACACACUUUUUUUACAGAAAUUUCAUAUCUUGUAAUACCUUUUUUUUAUUGGACUAACAGAAUUUUCUAAUGACAAGCUUUUGGGAGAACCUCCCUUUCUCAAGUCUAAAGCAUUUCUGGGCAAAGAUGACACAUAGAAUUCAAAGUUGAGUUGUGAUACAGGGGUUAAAGCGACAUGUGUGCAGAUAAGAUACAUGUUUGAUAGAAAAUAAACACUCGCAGGGUGUCGUAAAUAUGUAAAUCUCUUGUGUGAAGAUCACAGAGUGAUCCGAACUGUCCUGCCACUAUAGAUAAGAAUAAUCUGGUGGGGGUGCUGCGAUUCACAGGGCCUACUGUACCCUCCAUGAUGUUUAAUCCCACAUUUUCCAUGGCGGCAUAAUCUUAACCCAGUUAAAGACUGGGCAUUUCACUCAAAUUUUUAAUUGGUAAUAAUGUCCGUCAGCUGUUCACAGUUUGGCUAUUUUGGCCUACAAUUUUACAUUUCAAGUUGAAUUCCUAACAGUUCAUACUUUGGUGAGCAACUCCAACAGGCUCCCAUGUGUUUGAGAUACCUAUUGAUGGAGUCGGGUUGUUUUGCUGUUGGAAUUAUGCAAAAAGGCAUUGUUACUAGAGUUUAAAGUAACACUACGCUUUGUCAGAGGUCUGCCAGACAGCACUCUACCUCCUCUCAUCCAUCAGAGCCAGAAUGUCCUGCUAUGGAGCUUUCUUUAGUUCAGGGCCAACUCAUUUGCUAGCGGAUUGUUCACAGCCAACUAGCUCUGACCUGUGCCACCAUGCUUAGUUUAGACCAUGGGUCCUCAAACUCCAGCCCCCCCUCAGAUGUUGCUGAACUACAACUCCCAUGAUUUUUUGAAUUACAUAGAUAGCCAGAGAAUCAUGGGAGUUGUAGUUCAGCAACAUCUGGGGGGCCGGAGUUGGAGGACCCCUGAUUUAGACUGAGCGCUUUAAGGCAGACAGUAGGUUGUAGUGGAGGCAUGAAAUGGUGCUUGAGGUACCUCAAUUAAAUCAUUUAAAAAAACUGUUCGCUUAUAUCAGAACCACAUGACACCAUAGUCACUGCAGCAGCACGCUGUAGUGCUUAAGGUCCUUGGACUGUCCCUUUAACCCCUUAAGGACCAAACUUCUGGAAUAAAAGGCAAUCAUGACAUGUCACACAUGUCAUGUGUCCUUAAGGGGUUAAAAAGUCCUAGAAAGCAGGCAGCGUGGUACAUGUUUAAGAUUUUUGGUCUUACAGUAUUGCCUUACUUUGGUCACAUGACAGACCGCAUGUCGACCUUCCACUAGGAUGGCUUAUUAUUUGGUGACCCCGGCUAAGGAUCAUGUGAUAAUUUCACGCGCCAUCCCUGCCCUGUGUGCCGAGCACUGUAAGGCGGCUGGCUGCUUUCAUUGUCUGGAGUUCAAGGCGCCAGACGGCUUCUCGAACGAGUCCCGCUCACCACGUGGUCCUGGGGGUGUUUCCACUUCCGGCACUCUGUCUCCACGCUCCAUGCAUUCUCCCAGCUACCGGAAGUCGCUCUCUUACGUCACUUUGUCGAGCGACGCGACCUAACCCGGAAGUGCGACGCGUUCCGGGGGACGGUUGUUGUUGAACUCCCUUUACGGUUGGAGGGGGGGAGUUGUACUGUAAUUCUCCUCUCCGGCCCGCACCACCUUGUCCUCCAUGCGUGUCUGCGUCGCGAGCAUCAGGACGGCCGUGUGACCUGGGGAGCCGAGUCCGGGUGCACACGUGGUUACUCCAUCACAGCGCCAAGUAUGUCCGCGGGGUGUGAGCGGGAGGGAAGCGUGUUUCAGGCUGUAACUUCCCACUGAAUGGCGCUCAAUGCAGUAUGUGUAAUGCUAGCACGCGGCGAUUUAUAGUGUCCAGUUUUAAUGCGAUAGUGUCAGACCGCAACUGUGUGGCUCUCCUCUGUCAGCUGAUCUCAUUGUGCUGAGAGUACACCGAGCGUUCAUUCAACCUUGCAACUGUAGGUCAUUAGAAAGUAUUCAGCAGUAAGUUUACUAGUUUGGGUCCUAUUUUACAAAGACUAUGUGCACUGAAACAAAAUAACCCCCCCCCAAAAAAUAUUUUAUUAAAAUGACCUGAAAAGGUGGGAGGGUGUGUAGUUGGUUUUAAUUAAAGCAAUCCUAUAAAAUGGAUAAUUAUAUAAAGUAUUCGUGCUAAAGUCAGUCUGCAGUCAGAAAAGCUUACGCUAACAGGAAAUGUAGCCAAAGACUGCUUUAAUCCCCCCCCGAAUAUUAUUUUAUGAAAAGCCAUAUGCAAGUGCCUUUUCAUUUUAGUAGAAAAAACACAGAACAAAAAGUAGAAAGCGAAGGCAACAUCUCCUAUAUUUAGUAAUUGCACAUUUUGGCCGCUGAAUUGCUAGCAAGGCUUUCUGGUAAUAUAAUUUUUUUUUCACUUUUGAAUUUAAAGUGUUGACAGAAGUGUGCCAUUAAUUCAUUUUAAUCUGAUGCAGGAUAUUUAAUAGGGCAUAUGAUAGCAGAUAUGGGUUUAUGCAUUUGCUUGUUACCCUCAAGCUCUGGGCCAGACCUUGAUAAAACCUUUCAGUGAACUAAAUCCUUUAAUUUUUAGACUUUCAGUAAUGUCCAAUGAAUAAUUUACAGGUGUGAUGCAGUGAUAGAGUAGAACAUUUAUUCCUGCAGCAUUUCCAGGUGCUAGCAUCUAACCACUAUAUUCUGGACCGCUUUUAGUAACCUUUUAUUAAGCACAUACAUAGGCAUUCCUUCUGUAGUAAGUUCAAACACAUUUGCAUUAAGUGUUCUGUGUCAUGAUACCUGCAUUAGUUUAUGGUGCUUGAUUCUUUUUGCAAUUGAUUCUUACUUUUCUUAACCCACACAGACAUCUGCACUCUAACCAUAUUUUAUUCUUUCAUCCAUACAACAACCUAUGCUCUGAUUGUACCCAAACUUGUAAUUGUCUUUGAAAAACUAUUUCACUCUUCUUUCUCUACCCUUCCCCCCCUCCCCCCCCCGUGCUAAACCAUAUGUGUUGCAUUCCCCUUGGACUCCGUUUUACAUACAUUUUCAUCCACUUGCAUUAAUAUGUUCCAUAAUAUUUCCCCUUUGGGCCAAAUGUAUCACUGGCCUUUGACUUUCUAAGGCUGUUUAUUCCUUUACAUUCUCCUUAAGUUAUUUGUAUGCCAGUUCACUUACCUGCCACUCCUCAAUUAUCUCAUUCUACAGUAGACUUGUGCACAAAGGUUUUAACAGCUACAAUUGAAUCAUGCUUUUUAGAUCUGUUAUUGAAUGAAUCAAUCCAACUAACUAUUUGAAUAAGACUCCACAGGUGAAUCUUGGACGGAUUGAUUAAUUGAGCAUAGAUUAGAUGGCAUCAGAUUAUUUUGUAGCAGCUGAAACUGCACAAAUCUAUGCUGCACCUUUACCAAACCUCUUUGCUGCCUUGACUUUUAAAACCUUUUAAUUUUUUAACUUUGUUAAAAUAUCAUCUUCCUUCUAUUCCUAAAACUGGAACAAAAUCCUUAAUUUCUUCCAAUGUGCCACCUCCUUCUUAAUUCUCUGAAAAUGCUGAAAACUCAUUUCAUUAAAUGAAAAGGAUUAAAAUUAUACUUUUAGAAUUGCUAGAUAUUGUAUCAAUUUUAAAACAGUUAUGGUCCUUUCCCUUGUGUUCUGAUAGCACAGUGGCGAUGCAUCUAAUGAAAUGACAGGUAAGAGAGGAGGGAUGUUAACUGCAGCACUUUAACACUGAUGUGAUGGCAAUUAAGCGAACAUGUUCAUGCCAUGGGAGAGGUCUACCCUGGUUUGGUAAGUAUUCCUAAGGAUGGCUGAUCAUUUAUAUAAUGAGCGUGUGAUUGGAUGUUAUAGGGACACUAUAACCAUUUUAUCUCUUUGAAUCGGCUAUAGUGCCUGGAGUCCAUAGGCACUGUCCCUCCAUUCAGUGCUAAACCAUUUUAGAGAAGUUAAUAAGCGUAUUGUACACUUCUAGUCAUACCCUUAAUGCCGCCAGUUAGGGAGCUCGGAGAGAUUAAAAGCAGUCAGCUGACAUUCUCAGCCAAUCACAGCUGCCCAUUUCUGUCCAGGAUAAUACGUCCUCACCAGCUUAAGCAACACAGAGGGGGAUGGGCUGCUGUUUAGCAUUGAAACAUAAAAACACUAAAUACUCUUUAAUGCUGAAUUAAAUUAUGGCAGGGCUUGACAAAUCCCAGGUGCUAGAUUGGCAUGGGAUUUGCCAGCACUCUAGUUAGUGUGGCCGCUGAGGUAGCAUGGAGGCGGUCGCCUGCCCGCGGGAGCACUACUCUGCCUGCAGCUGCUCUCUGCUCCUUCGCGUUGUCUAAUGAUGCCGGGAGCUGGAAUAUGACAUCUUUCCGGCCCCGGCAUCAUUGCAGAGAGGAGCUAUAGGCAGAGUACUGCUCCUUUGCACACAGGAAGAGAGCCGCCCCACUGAACCCAAGACCCACUCAGCUCUCUCAAAGAUAGGGAGACUGAGUGGGUUUCAAUUAAAACAAAAAUGUGAGCGUGAACGAGCCUGUCGGAGUGAGCGAGCGUGCGUAUAAGCUUUCCGUGUGUGUGCGUGUUUAGGUACCUGCCCCCUCCGAUCUCAUGAGGAAGGUGUUUUUACUCAACUUUUUACUCAUUUUCUCAUGCCGUGCCAGUUUUUUCAAUCGUUAUGGAAAGCAUUGGGAGGAUUUUGUGCAUGCACAGCAAAUGUACCAAUCGCAUCUCCUCAUAAAGAUGCAUUAAAGGGACACUACAGUCACGCAGACCACUUCAGCUCAAUGAAGUGGUCUGGGUGCCAGGUCCCUCAGGUUUUAACCCUUCAGAUGCAAACAUAGCAGUUUUAGAGAAACUGCUAUGUUUACAUUUUGGGGUUAAGCCAUCACGCAGAGCGUCCAUAGGAAAGCAUUGAGAAAUGCUUUCCUAUGGACACUUGGAAUGCGAGCGUGGCACUUGCCGGAGAGGUCAUCAGCGCCGAGGGAGCCCGGCGCUGGAAUAAGGUAAGCUGCUGAAGGGGUUUUAGCUCCUUCAGCGCCACGGGAGUGGGACUCAGAGCACUGUAGUGUCAGGAAAACAGCUUUGUGCUGGUAGUACACAGCAAACAAGGAAAUUAUGUAACAUACAUAUUUAAAUUAAGUCACAGACGUUAAGUUUUAAAUCUGUUCUAUCCAAAAUUUAAUCAAGGCAAUGCAGCCACAAAUGAAUCUGCCGGUGUACAAUGGUAAAAAGGAAUAUAUAAAUAGCGAGGGGAAAACACAUUUACUGCUAAUAGUGUAAUACCAUUGAAAUUAUUAUAUCUUUAUUAUAAGAUUUAGAAAAAAGUGGCAAAUGGACUCUAACAACAUUUGAAAAAACAAACAAAAAAAACAUGUAGUGCUCCAUUGUCCUGCUUCACAAUUUGUAAUGCUGCUUUGUUCAUCCUACAACUCAAAUUUUAAUAUUUUUACAAAAGCAGGUUUCUGAUAUUUCUAUGUACCUUUUUUUUUUAGCCCCCUUGCUAUGAUUCUCAAUACUAAAAUUCUUAAAACCGUGCACAUCACUGUCACUUAUUUUCUUAAUUUGCAUUCAAUCAUCUCACUCUCCCAGCUUCACAAUCUUUACUGCAACUAGCAAAAUGUGUUUUAAUUUGUAAGUUUCAUCUGAGAAACAUCUGCUGACACUUGACAAUGUACAAAUUAGACUUUCUUUGCUCCUCAGGUAACUUAACAUUAUUGCAUCCCCAAGACAGUUCUUCCCUCAACAUACUAAACAAUAUGUAUGAUAGGCCUCCUGAGGCAAGCCAAAGGGGAAGCACUGCACCAAGCUGUUGUAACAUAAGAAAUUAUUUUGUAGCAUCUGUCAAUGACAAUCUUGUUUUCUGUUGUGUUGACGAAACCUGACUACACAUACACCUAAACACCGUGGAGUAUUUAUUAGUAUUAAUGUUAUUAACAGCUUGUCAUCUGAAUACAACAAAAACAAGCUGUCAUUGGUUACAGAUACAAAUAGGUGACUUGACUGCAAACAGUUUAAACUUUGUAAAACGUUUGUAACAGGAUAAAUAAUACAAUACCUGAAGAAAGGAACUGGAUAACUCCUAAUACUAGAGCCAUCUGGUUCAUUACUGGUUUCUGUAACCUAUCUGCAGUCCUGCUUGCCAGUAGUCUCUUGAUUUUAUGCCCACACUGAAUCUUCUAUACAAGUGUAUUGGAUUACUAGGUUCUUCUUGUGCAUCCUCAGCAAAUUUACAAGAUUCAGAGCUUAUUGCAUAACAUGAUGCCUGUGGCGUUUAUGAACAUCUCAUGUAAAUGUGAAUUUGCAGUCUGGGAAUGGAUAGCCGUGUCAGUGAAAAGAUUAAAAAUAAAUAUAUUUUUCUUUUUGGUUCACUUUUAUUUGUAUUCCACACCCAUAAAGCACUUCAGCUUAAAUAAGUUCUUCAUGGGUGAGAACUAUUCUAUUUUUAAUAACCCUUUAUAAAAGUGCCAAUUUCUAUGAGAUCUGCACCUUUGUAAUUAAAUCUCUUCCUGGCUUUUAGACAGUCAGGGAGGUUUGCAUCCUUCUUCCAUUAGCUCCUCUGAGCUAAAAGAAGUGGCAGAUGCACUCCGCUUGAGCAACCCUACCUUCUUCAUAUAGCAAAGAAAAUUGAAGCUAAUCCUAGUAAAAAAAAAAUUCUAGAAAAAAAUUCAAGAAAAUUAUCCUAGAAAUGUAUUAUAUAAUUUUUUUUUUUUGUUAAAAAUAUUUAAAAUACCACAUGCCACCAAACUAUGAUAAAAUGUUCAAAUAACAAGUUAUAUGGAUAGUUUAAAUAUAUGCUCUGUUCAUUGCAAGCUCUUUUAGGCUGAUGAAGCAAAAUAAAUACUUGCUUAUAAAUGUAUCUAUAAAGUAUAACAAUUAAGUUAAAGCUCAAUAGAAAAUAAUCACAACUGUAUCCAUUAUUGUAAGUUUCUAUACAGAGCUGUGAAACGAUUAAAGGGACACUAUAGUCACCCAGACCACUUCAGCUCAAUGACGUGGUCAGGGUGCCAGGUACCCCUGGUUUUGACCCUUCAGAUGUAAGCAUAGCAGUUUCAGAGAAACUGCUAUGUUUACAUUGCAGGGUUUAUCCAACCUCCAGUGGUUGUCUUCCUGACAGCUGCUAGAGGCGCUUCUGCGACGCUGGAUGUGAAAUUCGCUUCCAGCGUGCAGAACGUCCAGAAGAAAGCAUUGAGAAAUGGUUUCCUAUGGACUGUUUUAUUGCGUGUGUGGCUCUUACUGUGGAAAGGGUUCAAAUACACACAGCUAAGCAUUACAGCCUAAAUAGUACAAGGAGCACAAAGCAAAAGGAAACUAUAACAUCUGCAGAUUGUGAUAACAUAGAAGUGAUGAAAUACAAAAAGUAAUGAGAAAUUAAGGAAAAGUUCCCUAAGAUAUAGCAAGAGUAGUAACAAAAUCAAGCCAACCCUUAUGUGCCUUCCAGGGCCCCUGUGGAAACUACAAAACUGCUAUAUUUAAAAUUACCUGCACUAAAUGAAGUGCUAUUCAAACUAAGAAACAAAGAUCCACCUUUUAAAAAAAUAAAUAAAUAAAAAUUACAGGAAACUGCUACAAUUACUAUGCCAAAUUUAAAAUCCCCAUAAUUUACAAAACAAAUCGGGGGGAAAAAAAGAGCCCCAAUGAAUCCCCAGACCAGAUGCGUGUGCAUGAAAAGGCUUGAGAUCACUUCCAGAAGAAAAAGGGGACGACUUGCAAAGGCUUAUUCCUAAAGACCAUGCAUGUAUUAUUGUGGGUAUAUCUGCUAAACCUUUUUUCCCCAUUCAGUAAGUUUGAGUGGUCCUUUAAGUAAAAACCAGGGGCAUGUAAGCACUACUUUUUACAACGACCUGUUUUGUCCAAGCCCAGUCUUUAAUGUAACACUCCAGGCAGUAUAACCCUUAUUGAGUGCUGUAGUGGUUAUGGUGCCAGGAGUGCCCUAGCACCCCAAAUAUAAGUAGUCAAACCUUUUUAGAAUGUUUUGACUACUUACUUUUGGUGUCUGCUGGAUGCUGCACUCUACUUUUGGUUGAUAGGUGCUGUUCCCUGCCUGCACUUGAGGCGGAAACACAGUCUGAACUAAGCACGUGCAGCCAUUGGCGGAGUGUGUUCAACUGAUGUUCUCAGCCAGUGAGCUAGCCCGCAACUGUUUUGGCUCAUGAGAGCUAAUUAAAAUGCAGAUAGUAGGACUUUAAUUCUUUAUAAAAGAAAAGAAAGAAUAAAGUUUAUUAAAAAACAGUUGGCGACUGAUCUGCUUUAUAGAAUAAUCAAAAAGAUACACCACGCUAGGCUUCAAAUCUGACUUAUCGUAUACAAGCAGUCUCCCAUAAUUAUUUUAUUAUCAGCAUUUAUAGAGCACCAAUACAUUCCAUAGCACUUUUAAAUAUUAGCAUCAUCAUCGACAGUAAGCAUUUAUUGUUAAAUCUCCCCCUCUUCUAACCUUAGAAAAGGCUGAGCAAUUUUAGCAAAUUCUUACACUGACAUACAAAUUUAUGGGAAUAAUAAAGGAACACUAUAGUCACCUAAAUUACUUUAGCUAAAUAAAGCAGUUUUAGUGUAUAGAUCAUUCCCCUGCAAUUUCUCUGCUCAAUUCACUGUCAUUUAGGAGUUCUCACUUUGUUUCUGUUUAUGCAGCCCUAGCAACACCUCCCCUGGCUAUGAUUGACAGAGCCUGCAUGAAAAAAAAAACUGGUUUCACUUUCAAACAGAUGUAAUUUACCUUAAAUAAUUGUCUCAAUCUCUAAAUUGAACUUUAAUCACAUACAGGAGGCUCUUGCAGGGUCUAGCAAGCUAUUAACAUAGCAGGGGAUAAGAAAAUCUUAAUUAAACAGAACUUGAAAUAAAGAAAGCCUAAAUAGGGCUCUCUUUACAGGAAGUGUUUAUGGAAGGCUGUGCAAGUCACGUGCAUGGAGGUGUGACUAGGGUUCAUAAACAAAGGGAUUUAACUCCUAAAUGGCAGAGAGCAGUGAGGCUGCAGGGGCAUGUUCUAUACACCAAAACUGCUUCAUUAAGCUAAAGUUGUUCAGGUGACUAUAGUGUCUCUUUAAGCUUGCACCACUUAUGAAUCUUUACUGACGUGGAGAAUUUUCCCAAAUCAGAUAUUUUGGACUUAAAUGUCAAAUUCACUUUGUAUUUCUGUAAAUUCUCAUUUUAAUAAAUAGCUGUAAAAGUGAAAUGGUAAAUUCUUAAAAAUUGCAUUUUUUUUUUGUGAAAAAUCUGGGCAUUGACAUUUUGCAUGUUAUACUUGUAGCUUUAAUUUGCAUGAAUUGUCCAGUUGGGCCUAAUGACCGUUUUAUAUCAGAGCAAUCAGGUUAAGGAUCUAUCACAAGUUUGUCCACACAUCGAAUAACUGCAGGUCUGACAGUUUAAUGACAAGUGAAAUGAGCAGAACUGAACAUGUAGGUACAAGGUCUUUAGGGAAAGAUUAUAAUGCUGGCAAAAUGUGAUUUUUUUUAAUUUUUUUUUCUGUACAUUAUUUAAAGGUGUAUAUACAUUUUAUUUUUGUGUUACUUACCUUUUAGAUUAUACCGCCCUUUCCCUCCCUCCCCCCCCAUUUUGGGCAAAAAUUUGUUUUUACUGGUAACUUACUGGCAAAAGGCCUUUUUAAAAUCACUUUUUUUGUGGGAAGCAACUUAAGCCUUUCUGGUAGGCUAGAAGACUGUGUUCCUAAUUUGUGGUAGCCAAGCAGAAGUGUGUGAUUAUAUUUUAACUAGGUUUCUUUUUCUGUUUUUACAGAUUUCUCCCUAGAACUUUCAUCACUUGUGUGUAGCGUCCGUGCGUUUUGAUAUUCAAGGUAAUAUUUUAGCAUUUUUUGAAGCUUAAAUAUAGAAUUUAUAUACAUAAUAAAACAGAGUUGCAG
RNAcentral lists this long non-coding RNA (35548 nucleotides) under Pelobates cultripes (western spadefoot toad). The record is from RNAcentral. Lineage: Eukaryota; Metazoa; Chordata; Amphibia; Anura; Pelobatidae.